UACGUAGGGGGCAAGCGUUGUCCGGAUUUAUUGGGCGUAAAGAGCGUGUAGGCGGCCAUGUAGGUCCGUUGUGAAAACUCGAGGCUCAACCUCGAGACGCCGAUGGAAACCAUGUGGCUAGAGUCCGGAAGAGGAGAGUGGAAUUCCUGGUGUAGCGGUGAAAUGCGCAGAUAUCAGGAGGAACACCGGUGGCGAAGGCGGCUCUCUGGGCAUUACCUGACGCUGAGGAGCGAAAGUGUGGGGAGCGAACAGG
Molecule: ribosomal RNA, 253 nt
Filed under: uncultured bacterium
Lineage: Bacteria
Description: partial 16S ribosomal RNA
Rfam family: Bacterial small subunit ribosomal RNA
Source: RNAcentral